GUAUAUUCGAAAUCUUGUGAUGUAUAUUCUAUAAUCUUGUGAUGUAUGUUCGAAAUCUUGUGAUGUAUAUUCGAAAUCUUGUGAUGUAUGUUCGAUAAUCUUGUGAUGUAUAUUCGAAAUCUUGUGAUGUGUGUUCUACAAUUCAGUGAUGCGUGCAAUAAAAUUGCAUGACGCAACAGAAAAGUAAGGACAAUUUUCAUUGGUUAGAAAUAACGAAAGUAGCUGAAGCGUCGGGAAAACCAUGCAGGUGAGAAAAAACACAAUCAUCAGUUUGUUUAUUGCAGCACUUAUUACGAGAUGCACGAGUGUUGUUCCUGGUGACAUGAUGGAGAUAUUUCGGCCUGCUAGGGAAAAAACUCAACGAGCUGAUCGCCAACCAGGAGAUCAGAAUGAUCGCAUCUGCUCCUGCCACUUUAAGGAUGGUAAGAAGGAGGGGGACUCUGCAUAUUUUGCAUGGAAUGAAGGAAAGGCCAUGGAUUUCUCUGAUCCUGAAUGUACAAAAAGGAGGAAAAAACUCAAAAGUGAGGAGUCCCUGUCAUCUUCACAGAUGGACCAGUUGCAGAUUCCACAAGCACCAAAAUGUCAAUAUCAAGAAAAAUUGAUAUCAGAGCACAACUACUCAGUAUCCUGCACAUUUAACUGUACUCAAGAAAUGCAGCGCCUCUCAACAGAAAUACAACUGGAAAAGGAAUUGCUUGCCCUAAAAAUAGAGUCUAGUAAAAGGAAGCCAAUAUCAAUCCACGAUAUUAAAUACAACGAAGAGAAGUGUUAGGUCUCUGAUCAGCAGGGGCAUUUUCUCUAUAUAAAAAGAAAAUGGAGACUCCCUACCCACCCGAUGUAUUUUGUCGGACAGUUUUCUGUACAUUGCAGUCACCAAUAUAUCCAAAUAUCAUCACCGGCCCAGACGUCAUUCACUCCUUUGAAUUGUGCUGGUAGCAGUAAGGUGUCAUCAUUUGAGAUGGUCACAGUAUCCAAUACACUGAAGUCACAGGACUCAAAUUUCAUACAUGUUCACAGGUAGGUGUAUAGUCUUUGAAAUUACCACAAUUGACUAAUUCUGGGACAGGUAAGUAUGUAAGUAUAGGAAUGAGAGCACCAAAUCCCCGGAUGCACACAUGGCUUUGUUUGUUAUGGAACAUUAAACCGAAUACUG
This is an RNA transcript of Saccostrea cuccullata (small rock oyster), 1153 nucleotides long. RefSeq lists it as uncharacterized. The record is from RefSeq and is a predicted model, not a curated record. Lineage: Eukaryota; Metazoa; Mollusca; Bivalvia; Ostreida; Ostreidae. The transcript has 6 exons.